AUCAGCUUUCAAUUAAAUUAAAAAUUAUUAAAAUCGGUACACCCAGUAAAAAGUUAUUGCGGAUUUUCAAGAAUUUCCCUCGAUUUCUCUGGGAUCCCAUCAUCAGAUCCUGGUUUCCUUAUCUUGGUACCAAACUAGGGAUAUCCCCUUUCCAACAAAAAAAGAAUUGUCAAAAUCGGUACAUCCAGUAGAAAGUUAUGCGGUAUAAUACAACGUAGGUCGACGAAAAAAGCGUCAAGUAAAAACGGAUUAUUAGAUAUAACUCGAAAAGUAGUUGUUAGUUCU
RNAcentral lists this unclassified non-coding RNA (285 nucleotides) under Melitaea cinxia (Glanville fritillary). Its description in RNAcentral is "misc RNA ENSMCXG00005010698.1". The record is from RNAcentral. Lineage: Eukaryota; Metazoa; Arthropoda; Insecta; Lepidoptera; Nymphalidae.